RNAcentral lists this ribosomal RNA (257 nucleotides) under uncultured bacterium. Its description in RNAcentral is "partial 16S ribosomal RNA". It matches the Rfam family "Bacterial small subunit ribosomal RNA", at positions 524 to 776 of the family's 1533-position model. The record is from RNAcentral.
UACGGAGGGUGCAAGCGUUUAUCCGGAUUUACUGGGUUUAAAGGGUGCGUAGGUGGGUCUGUAAGUCAGUGGUGAAAUCUUCGAGCUUAACUCGGAAACUGCCAUUGAUACUAUAGGUCUUGAAUCAUCUGGAGGUGAGCGGAAUAUGUCAUGUAGCGGUGAAAUGCUUAGAUAUGACAUAGAACACCGAUUGCGAAGGCAGCUCACUACGGAUGUAUUGACACUGAGGCACGAAAAGCGUGGGGGAUCAAAACAGG